This 644-nucleotide ribosomal RNA is filed under the name uncultured Alphaproteobacteria bacterium. Its description in RNAcentral is "bacterial SSU rRNA". It matches the Rfam family "Bacterial small subunit ribosomal RNA", at positions 1 to 686 of the family's 1533-position model. The record is from RNAcentral. Lineage: Bacteria; Pseudomonadati; Pseudomonadota; Alphaproteobacteria.
GCGAAUUCGCCCUUAGAGUUUGAUCAUGGCUCAGAACGAACGCUGGCGGCAGGCCUAACACAUGCAAGUCGAGCGCACCUUCGGGUGAGCGGCGGACGGGUUAGUAACGCGUGGGAACGUGCCCUUCUCUGCGGAAUAGCCUCUGGAAACGGAGAGUAAUACCGCAUACGCCCUUCGGGGGAAAGAUUUAUCGGAGAAGGAUCGGCCCGCGUUAGAUUAGAUAGUUGGUGGGGUAACGGCCUACCAAGUCUACGAUCUAUAGCUGGUUUUAGAGGAUGAUCAGCAACACUGGGACUGAGACACGGCCCAGACUCCUACGGGAGGCAGCAGUGGGGAAUCUUGGACAAUGGGCGCAAGCCUGAUCCAGCCAUGCCGCGUGAGUGAUGAAGGCCUUAGGGUCGUAAAGCUCUCUCGCCAGGGAUGAUAAUGACAGUACCUGGUAAAGAAACCCCGGCUAACUCCGUGCCAGCAGCCGCGGUAAUACGGAGGGGGUUAGCGUUGUUCGGAAUUACUGGGCGUAAAGCGCACGUAGGCGGACUGGAAAGUAUGGGGUGAAAUCCCAGGGCUCAACCCUGGAACUGCCUCAUAAACUCCCAGUCUUGAGUUCGAGAGAGGUGAGUGGAAUUCCGAGUGUAGAGGUGAAA